This 1051-nucleotide ribosomal RNA is filed under the name Aurantiochytrium limacinum. RNAcentral describes it as "partial Bacterial small subunit ribosomal RNA". It matches the Rfam family "Bacterial small subunit ribosomal RNA", at positions 342 to 1384 of the family's 1533-position model. Lineage: Eukaryota; Bigyra; Thraustochytrida; Thraustochytriidae. The record is from RNAcentral.
CGGGAGGCAGCAGUGGGGAAUAUUGGACAAUGGGGGCAACCCUGAUCCAGCCAUGCCGCGUGUGUGAAGAAGGCCUUUUGGUUGUAAAGCACUUUAAGCAGGGAGGAGAGGCUAAUGGUUAAUACCCAUUAGAUUAGACGUUACCUGCAGAAUAAGCACCGGCUAACUCUGUGCCAGCAGCCGCGGUAAUACAGAGGGUGCGAGCGUUAAUCGGAAUUACUGGGCGUAAAGCGAGUGUAGGUGGCUCAUUAAGUCACAUGUGAAAUCCCCGGGCUUAACCUGGGAACUGCAUGUGAUACUGGUGGUGCUAGAAUAUGUGAGAGGGAAGUAGAAUUCCAGGUGUAGCGGUGAAAUGCGUAGAGAUCUGGAGGAAUACCGAUGGCGAAGGCAGCUUCCUGGCAUAAUAUUGACACUGAGAUUCGAAAGCGUGGGUAGCAAACAGGAUUAGAUACCCUGGUAGUCCACGCCGUAAACGAUGUCUACUAGCCGUUGGGGUCCUUGAGACUUUAGUGGCGCAGUUAACGCGAUAAGUAGACCGCCUGGGGAGUACGGCCGCAAGGUUAAAACUCAAAUGAAUUGACGGGGGCCCGCACAAGCGGUGGAGCAUGUGGUUUAAUUCGAUGCAACGCGAAGAACCUUACCUGGUCUUGACAUCCACGGAACUUUCCAGAGAUGGAUUGGUGCCUUCGGGAACCGUGAGACAGGUGCUGCAUGGCUGUCGUCAGCUCGUGUCGUGAGAUGUUGGGUUAAGCCCCGCAACGAGCGCAACCCUCGUUCUAUGUUGCCAGCACGUGAUGGUGGGGACUCAUAGGAGACUGCCGGGGUCAACUCGGAGGAAGGUGGGGAUGACGUCAAAUCAUCAUGCCCCUUAUGACCUGGGCUACACACGUGCUACAAUGGCUGGUACAACGAGUCGCAAGUCGGUGACGGCAAGCUAAUCUCUUAAAGCCAGUCUCAGUUCGGAUUGUAGGCUGCAACUCGCCUACAUGAAGUCGGAAUCGCUAGUAAUCGCGGAUCAGCAUGUCGCGGUGAAUACGUUCCCGGGUCUUGU